This 82-nucleotide small nucleolar RNA is filed under the name Catharus ustulatus (Swainson's thrush). RNAcentral's name for it is "Small nucleolar RNA SNORD45 (ENSCUSG00005006852.1)". It matches the Rfam family "Small nucleolar RNA SNORD45". From Rfam's summary of the family: U45 belongs to the C/D class of snoRNA which contain the C (UGAUGA) and D (CUGA) box motifs. Most of the members of the box C/D family function in directing site-specific 2'-O-methylation of substrate RNAs. The record is from Rfam by way of RNAcentral. RNAcentral also lists the same sequence under 1 other name. Lineage: Eukaryota; Metazoa; Chordata; Aves; Passeriformes; Turdidae.
GGUCUGUGAUGAGCCUUGGCAUGUAUUAUCUGACUAUAAAUUGAAGAUUAUCAUUUUAGCUCUGUAAUUACUCUGAGACCUG